CAAAUUCUGCACACACUUUAAAGCAAAGAAAUGAUAUUUUUCACUCCACGCCAAUCAGCAGUGAGCUCAUUUUCUUAUACAAAAUGGAAUAUGAAUGAUACAUGAAUAAAGAGUGUAUACAAAUAUUUUCAUCACUGUAUAUAACUGCACAAAGAGGAAACCUGUGGAUUCUAUCUGUCCCCAUAUUCUGAAUAUUGUACAACCCUAUCUCGCUUCGGAGACCUGUUCAACAUUACUGAGAAUUAGAAACUGGUAAUAACAUUGGCUAAUCACUCGACACAUUAUUUACAAUUUCUGUCUGGUCACAAUUCCUCUUAUCAUGUCUGUUUCCCCACUAAUAAUAACUGUUACCUAUCUUCUUAAAUGGUUGAAGACCAACAAAGGAACAUGUUCUUGGAUCUUAAUUAUAGCUCAGCUUUUUUUUUUGAACUCUCGUAGCAAAAAUGGUGUUGUUUUGGGCCACAUGUUGCGGCGAUGACUCCAAAAUAUUGCCCAAGGAUUUUAUUGCUUAGGUUUAGGAGCUCCGAGUGCCUAUACGGCUAUCUAGACAUUGUCGGGCUCAAGCCACUCAACCUUUUACCAGAAGGAGGAUAGUAUUAAGCAAGGGAAGAAUCACAACAAGUUUCCAGCAUGUAGGUGUGUAAACACAAAUUUUUGUAUUUCAAUUUGAUAAAAUACAAAAAAAACGCGUUACAAAGAUAAUUUGAUAGAUUUGAAGAUAGAUUUAUGCGGGUUGCAAUCUCUAGUUAAUCCUCUGAUUCUUCUCUUCCAUUUGAUUCUUGAACAAGCUCGAAGGUUCUUGAAAUACUUGAUUUGAUGACGCCAAUCCAAGGGACUUAAGUCAUGAUUUUGGAUUGAACGUUGAACUUGAUUUGAUUUGAUUUGAUUUGAAGAACGUCCUUAGAAUUUGUAAGAACGCCUUGAAGCUUUGGGAUUUGGUUGAUUUGAUUUGAGGAAGAUCGUUCUUGGAAUUUGUAAGAACGCCUUGAUCACUUGAAGAUUUGAAGGUUUGAUCACUUGAAGAUACUUGAAGAAUACUUGAAGAUUUGAAUGCUCAAAUACUUGAAGAUUCGAAGAAGACUUGAACGCUUGAAGAUUUCGAAGGAUACUUGAAGAUUUGAAUGCUCAAAUACUUGAAGAUUCGAAGAAGACUUGAACGCUAGAUAGAAUUCUUCAAGAUACUUGAAUACUUGGAAGAAUACUUGAACUCUCCAAUUCUUCGCCUCUUUCAACUUGCGAUACUAGAGAGAAUUCUUUAUACUCUUCGAUCUUCCGUUCCUUCACGUCGUGAUAAUGAGCACCCCAACACCUCUAUUUAUAGAUUUUAGAGAUGAGCUUUGGGCCUUCAUGCAUGGGCCUUAGGGCUUUAGGUGUCCAUAAGCCCAUUAAUUCAUUUAUAUUAAAUAUUAAUUAUAUAUCUAUUUAAUUUAGGAAUAAAAUCCAUUUAAUAAAAUAGAAAAUAUAAUUGAAUAUUUAAUUCAUGAAUUUACACG
This 1493-nucleotide long non-coding RNA is filed under the name Salvia miltiorrhiza (redroot sage). RNAcentral describes it as "long non-coding RNA (SMIL_LNC012378)". The record is from RNAcentral. Lineage: Eukaryota; Viridiplantae; Streptophyta; Magnoliopsida; Lamiales; Lamiaceae.